RNAcentral lists this ribosomal RNA (415 nucleotides) under uncultured Glomus. Its description in RNAcentral is "SSU rRNA". It matches the Rfam family "Eukaryotic small subunit ribosomal RNA", at positions 569 to 987 of the family's 1831-position model. The record is from RNAcentral. Lineage: Eukaryota; Fungi; Glomeromycota; Glomeromycetes; Glomerales; Glomeraceae.
AGCAGCCGCGGUAAUUCCAGCUCCAAUAGCGUAUAUUAAAGUUGUUGCAGUUAAAAAGCUCGUAGUUGAAUUUCGGGGUCAGUAGAUUCGGUCGUGCCACUGGUAUGCACUGGUCUUACUGGCUCCUCCUUCCUGAUGAACCGUAAUGCCAUUAAUUUGGUGUUGCGGGGAGACUGGACUGUUACUUUGAAAAAUUAGAGUGUUUAAAGCAGGCUAACGCUUGAAUACAUUAGCAUGGAAUAAUGAAAUAGGACGUUCGAUCUUAUUUUGUUGGUUUCUAAGAUUGACGUAAUGAUUAAUAGGGAUAGUUGGGGGCAUUAGUAUUCAAUUGUCAGAGGUGAAAUUCUUGGAUUUAUUGAAGACUAACUACUGCGAAAAGCAUUUGCCAAGGAUGUUUUCAUUAAUCAAGAACGAA